CAACAGCAACGAGCUUGGGCCUCUUCGUGGCGCUGUUGACUAGUAGCCCAAAUACGGGGUGAAGCCAACACAGGC
This 75-nucleotide non-coding RNA is filed under the name Penicillium rubens Wisconsin 54-1255. Lineage: Eukaryota; Fungi; Ascomycota; Eurotiomycetes; Eurotiales; Aspergillaceae. The record is from RNAcentral.